GCCUCUCCUCGCUUCUUUAUCCUCUCUGCAAGGCCGCAACCACCCAUCGGCUCCAACUUAUCUCCUCGCUCCCUUUUCUUCUUCAUCUGCAAGCAAACCAGAGGGAGAGAAAACCCUACCGAGCACCUCCACCUCACCAUGGCGCCGUCGCGUCAGGCCACCCCUCGCUGAGCUAAUGCCACCGGGAGAUGCGCCUCGUCGUCCUCAUCAUCCCCAACCAACGAAUCGAACCAAGACCUCUCCAAUCGCCCACAAAAUCGUCGUUUCCGUCCUCUUGCUGCCGGCGUCUUCUUCAAAAUUCGGCGCCGUUCCACCUCUCCUAGCCCGUCCGAGCUCACCAACGCGUUCCUGGAGCUCGACGACGGCGACACUCCGGCGACCCCCUGGACUCCGCACCGCCACCAUCAGCCUCCCCGCGUUCAGCCGCAUCCCCGAAGCCAAGUUCCCCGUCCCGGUUCGUCCAGAAUCAUUGGAUCGAUUCUCAACCUGACCUCCCUCCGCCAUGGCUGCAACCUCCCAGGAUCUUCCACGCCCCUUGUUGUUUCAAGUUGCAGCGUGUCCUGUAGAUGACACGAUACACAGUGCAUCCCAUCUGUUGUGUGGGCCUCAGCCAGAUCCUCCAGCACAGGCGUGUCGGCCUUCCUUCUGCCAGCAAGCAUUUGCUUCUUCCCGGAUAGGAUCGCGAAGUGGUGAUGUGAGAUACGACGAGUUCCCCGACAAGUUCUUCUGCAGCUUUUCACAGGCGAGCCCUCUCUCUUCACCUAUUUUACUCUCUCCCUCGCACUGCUAUCCUUAUGUUGCGAUUCUUUAUCGAGUCACGUGUCCUAUUCCACUUGUUUACCAUAAUAAUCCUAUAUGUAUCAUUCCUUAACCAUAGUCGUUGCUUGAUGUUUGAGCCCUGCGAGUCGUAGGCGUGUUUAGGCUUUGUUGUUUAUCUCGAUCUGUUAUCGGGAUAUGUUGGGUUGUUGGGAGGUUUUCACAUGCUAUAUCAAUUGUUGGAGAUACACAUGCUUUACUUAAUUGUUAAUAACUAAAAUUGAAAGCAGAGGCAUCUGUGAGCCCCUUUACGAAAGCAUCGGAACUUUGACUCGCUAAUGUCCCCUAGGACCCGAGUUCUUGUUAUCUGUUCCGAGAUUGAGCGCUCUACCCAUGCGUGGGGACGAUUAUUGGGACCCCCUCACCCAAUACCUUUUCUCAAGUCAGUUGAAAAGGGGGCCACAACCUUGGUUUUAUUUGCCUAUGCUAUGUAUGCCAUGCUUUACUUACUGUUGCCUUCGGGUGUUUACUUCACGUUGCCUUCGGGUGUUUAUAUUCUGUACUGUUGAUAACCCACAAGUAUAGGGGAUCGCAACAGUCUUCGAGGGAAGUAAAACCCAAAUUUAUUGAUUCGACACAAGGGGAGGUAAAGAAUACUUAUAAGCCUUAACAACUGAGUUGUCAAUUCAGUUGCACU
Lolium perenne is the source of this 1453-nucleotide long non-coding RNA. RefSeq lists it as uncharacterized. The record is from RefSeq and is a predicted model, not a curated record. Lineage: Eukaryota; Viridiplantae; Streptophyta; Magnoliopsida; Poales; Poaceae.